AUUCGGGUUGAUAACUAGGCAAUGGUCUCAAUACAAACCCCCCACGACUUUUGCCCUUUAAGUGCCCGAGAUAUCAAUCUCUUUCGCAAGGAUCUUACACGUUCUCUGAUACUACCUGACGAACAACGUUUAAUCUAUUGCGACAUAC
This 148-nucleotide small nucleolar RNA is filed under the name Coniosporium apollinis CBS 100218. Lineage: Eukaryota; Fungi; Ascomycota; Dothideomycetes. The record is from RNAcentral.